This 253-nucleotide ribosomal RNA is filed under the name uncultured bacterium. RNAcentral's name for it is "partial 16S ribosomal RNA". It matches the Rfam family "Bacterial small subunit ribosomal RNA", at positions 524 to 776 of the family's 1533-position model. The record is from RNAcentral.
UACAGAGGAGCCAAGCGUUGUCCGGAUUGACUGGGCGUAAAGCGCACGCAGGCGGUCGGGCGCGUGGGGUGUGAAAUCUGGCCGCUUAACGGCCAGGCGCCAUCCCAUACGGCUCGACUGGAGUGAUGCAGAGGUCGAUGGAAUUGCCGGUGUAGUGGUGAAAUGCGUAGAUAUCGGUAGGAACACCAGUGGCGAAGGCGGUCUCCUGGGGCAUUCUUGACGCUGAGGCGCGAAAGCUGGGGGAGCAAACGGG